RNAcentral lists this ribosomal RNA (427 nucleotides) under uncultured prokaryote. RNAcentral's name for it is "bacterial SSU rRNA". It matches the Rfam family "Bacterial small subunit ribosomal RNA", at positions 355 to 774 of the family's 1533-position model. The record is from RNAcentral.
UGGGGAAUUUUGGACAAUGGGCGCAAGCCUGAUCCAGCAAUGCCGCGUGCAGGAUGAAGGCCUUCGGGUUGUAAACUGGUUUUGUACGGAACGAAAAGGCUCUGGUUAAUACCUGGGGUCUAUGACGGUACCGUAAGAAUAAGCACCGGCUAACUACGUGCCAGCAGCAGCGGUAAUACGUAGGGUGCAAGCGUUAAUCGGAAUUACUGGGCGUAAAGCGUGCGCAGGCGGUUUUGUAAGACAGAGGUGAAAUCCCCGGGCUCAAACUGGGAACUGCCUUUGUGACUGCAAGGCUGGAGUACGGCAGAGGGGGAUGGAAUUCCGCGUGUAUCAGUGAAAUGCGUAGAUAUGCGGAGGAACACCGAUGGCGAAGGCAAUCCCCUGGGCCUGUACUGACGCUCAUGCACGAAAGCGUGGGGAGCAAACA